Molecule: ribosomal RNA, 397 nt
Filed under: uncultured bacterium
Lineage: Bacteria
Description: partial 16S ribosomal RNA
Rfam family: Bacterial small subunit ribosomal RNA
Source: RNAcentral
AUACGUAGGUGACAAGCGUUAUCCGGAUUUACUGGGCGUAAAGGGCGUGUAGGCGGUCUUGCAAGUCAGAAGUGAAAUUCCUGAGCUCAACUCGGGCGCUGCUUCUGAAACUGCAGGACUUGAGUGCUGGAGGGGAUAGCGGAAUUCCUAGUGGAGCGGUAAAAUGCGCAGAUAUUAGGAAGAACACCGGUGGCGAAGGCGGCUAUCUUGGCAGUAACGGGCGCUGAGGCGCGAAAGCGUGGGGAGCAAACAGGAUUAGAUACCCUGAUACUCCACGCCGUAAACGAUGAAUUCUAGGUGUAGGGGGUAUCGACUCCCUCUGUGCCGCAGUUAACACAAUAAGUAUUCCGCCUGGGGAGUACGGCCGCAAGGUUGAAACUCAAAUGAAUUGACGGGG